GACGAACGCUGGCGGCGCGCCUAACACAUGCCAGUCGAACGAGCGAGCGAGACCUUGCUUUCUUGAGCGAGUGGCGAACGGGUGAGUAACGCGUGAGGAACCUGCCUCACAGUGGGGGACAACAGCUGGAAACUACUGCUAAUACCGCAUAAGCGCACCACCCGGCAUGGGGGUGAGGGAAAAGGAGCGAUGCGCUUUGAGCUGGCGUCGCUUCCGAUUAGGUAGUUGGUGAGGUAACGGCCCACCAAGGCGACGAGCGGUAGCCGGACUGGGAGGUGGAACGGCUACAAUGGGAAUGAGACACGGCCCCGAAUCCGACGGGAGGCAGGAGUGGGGAAUAUUGCGCACUGGGGCAAACCCUGAUGCCGCGGCGUGGCGUGGAGGAAGAAGGGCGUCGGAUUGUAAACUCCUGUUUUAGAGGAAGAGAAUGACGGUACUCAGCAAAGAAGCGACGGCUAACUACGUG
Molecule: ribosomal RNA, 466 nt
Filed under: uncultured bacterium
Lineage: Bacteria
Description: partial 16S ribosomal RNA
Rfam family: Bacterial small subunit ribosomal RNA
Source: RNAcentral